GAAGCUAUAGCUCAGUGGUAGAGCUCAUGCCUCAUGCACGAGGUCUUGGGUUCAGUCCCCAGUACCUCCA
This 70-nucleotide transfer RNA is filed under the name Camelus bactrianus (Bactrian camel). It matches the Rfam family "tRNA". Rfam says of the family: Transfer RNA (tRNA) molecules are approximately 80 nucleotides in length. Their secondary structure includes four short double-helical elements and three loops (D, anti-codon, and T loops). Lineage: Eukaryota; Metazoa; Chordata; Mammalia; Artiodactyla; Camelidae. RNAcentral also lists the same sequence under 2 other names. The record is from Rfam by way of RNAcentral.